Molecule: microRNA precursor, 206 nt
Filed under: Oryza nivara
Lineage: Eukaryota; Viridiplantae; Streptophyta; Magnoliopsida; Poales; Poaceae
Description: MIR812 microRNA precursor family
Rfam family: MIR812 microRNA precursor family
Source: Rfam by way of RNAcentral
AAAAAGACAAACCUUAGGUUUCCGUGUCUAACUUUGACUGUCCGUCUUAUAUAAAAUUUUUUUAUAAUUCGUAUUUUUAUUGUUGUUAGAUGAUAAAACAUGAUUAAUAUUUUAUGCGUGACUUAUCUUUUUAAUUUUUUUUAAUAUUUUUUUCAAAUAAGACGGACGGUCAAACGUUAGGCACGGAAACCAGGGUUUGUCUUUUU